RNAcentral lists this ribosomal RNA (736 nucleotides) under Bacillus sp. (in: firmicutes). Its description in RNAcentral is "bacterial SSU rRNA". It matches the Rfam family "Bacterial small subunit ribosomal RNA", at positions 69 to 788 of the family's 1533-position model. The record is from RNAcentral. Lineage: Bacteria; Bacillati; Bacillota; Bacilli; Caryophanales; Bacillaceae.
ACAGAUGGGAGCUUGCUCCCUGAUGUUAGCGGCGGACGGGUGAGUAACACGUGGGUAACCUGCCUGUAAGACUGGGAUAACUCCGGGAAACCGGGGCUAAUACCGGAUGGUUGUUUGAACCGCAUGGUUCAAACAUAAAAGGUGGCUUCGGCUACCACUUACAGAUGGACCCGCGGCGCAUUAGCUAGUUGGUGAGGUAACGGCUCACCAAGGCAACGAUGCGUAGCCGACCUGAGAGGGUGAUCGGCCACACUGGGACUGAGACACGGCCCAGACUCCUACGGGAGGCAGCAGUAGGGAAUCUUCCGCAAUGGACGAAAGUCUGACGGAGCAACGCCGCGUGAGUGAUGAAGGUUUUCGGAUCGUAAAGCUCUGUUGUUAGGGAAGAACAAGUACCGUUCGAAUAGGGCGGUACCUUGACGGUACCUAACCAGAAAGCCACGGCUAACUACGUGCCAGCAGCCGCGGUAAUACGUAGGUGGCAAGCGUUGUCCGGAAUUAUUGGGCGUAAAGGGCUCGCAGGCGGUUUCUUAAGUCUGAUGUGAAAGCCCCCGGCUCAACCGGGGAGGGUCAUUGGAAACUGGGGAACUUGAGUGCAGAAGAGGAGAGUGGAAUUCCACGUGUAGCGGUGAAAUGCGUAGAGAUGUGGAGGAACACCAGUGGCGAAGGCGACUCUCUGGUCUGUAACUGACGCUGAGGAGCGAAAGCGUGGGGAGCGAACAGGAUUAGAUACCCU